AUCAGUUGUCUAACAAGGCAUUGCUGAGCAGCUACGCUGUAAGGGAUAAGCGCUGAACGCAUCUAAGCGCGAAACCUCCCUCGAAAAGAGACAAUUUGAGCUCCCCUAAAAUAGGGGUUUGAUAGGACGGGCGUGUACGCACGAAGCUUCGGCGACGUGUUUAGCGCGCCGUUACUAAACGCUCAGAAAUACUCAAAUU
This 199-nucleotide ribosomal RNA is filed under the name Minisyncoccota bacterium. Its description in RNAcentral is "partial 23S ribosomal RNA". It matches the Rfam family "Archaeal large subunit ribosomal RNA", at positions 2786 to 2987 of the family's 2987-position model. The record is from RNAcentral. Lineage: Bacteria; Bacillati; Minisyncoccota.